GAUGAACGCUGGCGGCGUGCCUAAUACAUGCAAGUCGAGCGAAUGGAUUAAGAGCUUGCUCUUAUGAAGUUAGCGGCGGACGGGUGAGUAACACGUGGGUAACCUGCCCAUAAGACUGGGAUAACUCCGGGAAACCGGGGCUAAUACCGGAUAACAUUUUGAACCGCAUGGUUCGAAAUUGAAAGGCGGCUUCGGCUGUCACUUAUGGAUGGACCCGCGUCGCAUUAGCUAGUUGGUGAGGUAACGGCUCACCAAGGCAACGAUGCGUAGCCGACCUGCGAGGGUGAGCGGCCACACUGGGACUGAGCCACGGCCCAGACUCCUACGGGAGGCAGCAGUAGGGAAUCUUCCGCAAUAGACGAAAGUCUGACGGAGCAACGCCGCGUGAGUGAUGAUGGCUUUCGGGUCGUAAAACUCUGUUGUUAGGGAAGAACAAGUGCUAGUUGAAUAAGCUGGCACCUUGACGGUACCUAACCAGAAAGCCACGGCUAACUACGUGCCAGCAGCCGCCGUAA
RNAcentral lists this ribosomal RNA (515 nucleotides) under uncultured bacterium. Its description in RNAcentral is "partial 16S ribosomal RNA". It matches the Rfam family "Bacterial small subunit ribosomal RNA", at positions 28 to 523 of the family's 1533-position model. The record is from RNAcentral.